Long non-coding RNA from Vanessa atalanta (red admiral), 185 nucleotides. RefSeq lists it as uncharacterized. Lineage: Eukaryota; Metazoa; Arthropoda; Insecta; Lepidoptera; Nymphalidae. The record is from RefSeq and is a predicted model, not a curated record. The transcript has 4 exons.
GUGUGCUCUUCCGAUCUCUGGCCCUUGACCCAGCUGCCUAACGAGAGCCUCUUAAGGUGUUGGUCGAGGCUCUUGGCCAUUAGUCCAUUCGCUGAAACGACUAUCGGCACAAUAACUGCUGUAUCCACAUCCCACAUGUCGACAACCUCGUGAGCUAAGUCGAGAUAUUUUAUUUGCUUAUCUUU